Molecule: ribosomal RNA, 309 nt
Filed under: Triticum aestivum (bread wheat)
Lineage: Eukaryota; Viridiplantae; Streptophyta; Magnoliopsida; Poales; Poaceae
Description: partial small subunit ribosomal RNA
Source: RNAcentral
GUGCAUAGCUCCUUUGACAAGGAGCUUGCUAGGUUCUUCUGGAGGGUAGGGGAUGGUCGGCCCAAGUACCAUAUGGUGAAGUGGGCUGACAUUUGCUUGUCGAAGGACCGAGGUGGGUUGGGCAUCCCUACAUCUCGCCGGAUGAACGUUGCGCUUAUGCUGCGUUGGGUUUGGCGGAUCUUGCGGGGAGAUGAGGGGUUGUGGCUGCAGGUGGUUGAGUCCAAGUACUUGCAGGGCCAACCCCUCAUGGCUUGCUCACACUCGGCUGGGUCCCAGUUCUGGAAAUCUAUUUUGGCCAUCAAGGAAUAG